GACGAACGCUGGCGGCGUGCUUAACACAUGCAAGUCGAACGAGAAUCUGUUGGAUCGAGGAUUCGUCCCAAGUGAAGCAGAGGACAGUGGCGGACGGGUGAGUAACGCGUGAGGAACCUGCCUUUUCAGAGGGGGGACCAACCAGUUGGAAACGACUGCUAAUACCGCAUGAUACAUUUGGGUGGCAUCAUCUGAAUGUCAAAGAUUUAUCGCUGAAAGAUGGCCUCGCGUCUGAUUAGCUGGUUGGUGAGGUAACGGCCCACCAAGGCGACGAUCAGUAGCCGGACUGAGAGGUUGACCGGCCACA
Molecule: ribosomal RNA, 307 nt
Filed under: uncultured bacterium
Lineage: Bacteria
Description: bacterial SSU rRNA
Rfam family: Bacterial small subunit ribosomal RNA
Source: RNAcentral